UACGGGGGGGGCAAGCGUUGUUCGGAAUUACUGGGCGUAAAGGGCUCGUAGGCGGCCAACUAAGUCAGACGUGAAAUCCCUCGGCUUAACCGGGGAACUGCGUCUGAUACUGGAAAGCUUGAGUGCAGGAGAGGAACGCGGAAUUCCAGGUGUAGCGGUGAAAUGCGCAGAUAUCAGGAGGAACACCGGUGGCGAAGGCGGUGGUCUGGGCCGGUACUGACGCUGAGGAGCGAAAGCGUGGGGAGCGAACAGG
Molecule: ribosomal RNA, 253 nt
Filed under: uncultured bacterium
Lineage: Bacteria
Description: partial 16S ribosomal RNA
Rfam family: Bacterial small subunit ribosomal RNA
Source: RNAcentral